GAGAUGCCCAGAAGAAAGAGAGGGCUGAACAGGGGACUCCAGUGACGUCCGAUGGGCCGACUUUACGAUCCUUUAGAGUAAAAAUGUCAUCCAGGAAGACCUAAAGAUAACAAUAAACGAUUAUAGUUUAACUUAGGAUGGUACUAUAUCUCAACUAGGACAAAGUCCGGCACAUAGUAAUCGCUAUGUUUUUACUAUGAUGAUUAUUAUUAUCUUCGUCUAACAGCAACAACAAAAAAAAGGCCAGAGGCAUCUGUGCAAAACUUGGUCUCUAUGAAGUCAGAGCUAUUAGUAUCAGCAUUUUGCCCAUGAAGAAACCGCGGUGUAGAGAGAUUCUUUUCCCGGAACUGGAUAACCAGCAAAAUGUGAAGCAGGGUAAUCUGUCUCCUGAGUCUGGGCUCUUCAGUGACACCACUGUUUCCCCAAAGGGAAGCCCACCAGAGCCCUCUUCUCCCUGGGGAGGAACUGGCUCCCUGAGUCUCCAAGACAACCCCAGACAGCCCUGGGGACCUUGAAUGUGAGCAAGGGGAGCAGGAAGGAGACUCCAGCCCACCCAGAGCCCCUGCAGGGUCUGCACACACAAUUACAGAUUUGAAUUCAAAUAACUGAUGAUUUGUUCCAUGAAUGCCAGAGCUGGAAGGGAUGGGGAUGGCGGAAGAGACAAGACUGGAUCAUGGACCUGGUGGUUCUGUGCAGAGGCCAAAGCUACUCUGCUUCCCACCUGGCUCUGUGCUGGGCCUAACCUGGAGCCCCCUCCAUCCUCUGCCUUAUUCACCUCUGGUUCAAGGUCCGGCAGAAACUCCACAUCCUCCAGGAAGCCCUGGUGGACUUGGGCAGACCUGGAGACACGUCCAACCUCCUGGCAAGAUGGGGGUUACAAGAGUGUGUAUAAAGGGGAAGGCAAGAAUGUGCCCUUGGUGGAGCAGUGAAAAGAAGCCUUCAUGUGACAAGUGCUUUGCUCCUAACCCACCCCCUGUGGUGACAUCUUCUAGGUUAACUGCCCUUGCUGAUCUCUGCACAUAAACCAAGCUAACUGUGGGAGGACUUUUGUUUCUAGUUUAAAGCAAGGAGGACCACAGUUCCUUCCAAACGCUCACCCCCAAGGAGAUAAGGAGGGCAUCCCAUGAGCAACACUGUGUGUUAAAGAUGCACAUGAGCACUAGGACUCGACCAAGGACAAACACGUCUCCAGGCCCCUCAGACCCUCGCUGCUGCCCAGAUGUCCAUUGUCAUCGGUCACAUCCUAACCUCAACCCCCUCCCCUCCUCCCACAUAAAAGGAGGCUGAAAUUCAUAGUAACUUCAGAUGGUUCUUUAGGACACUGGCCCACCACCUUCUCAGUUGCUGGCUCUCCAAAACAAAGCCCCCUCCCUUGACCCAACUCCUUGUCUCUUGACGUACUGGCUGUUGUGCAGUGCGUGGUACCGGCUUGAACUCGGUUAUGCUGGCACGGCCUCUGGCAGUGUUCAGUGUGUGCGGAUGAGUAUUUUACAGCUACUGUUCUAUUUCUAGUCCCCUUCCUGUGGACGGCUGUGGGAUGUGCUGUGGAUGCCCUCUCUUAGGCUGGAAUAAACCGCCCUACCUUCUCU
Molecule: long non-coding RNA, 1589 nt
Filed under: Macaca fascicularis (crab-eating macaque)
Lineage: Eukaryota; Metazoa; Chordata; Mammalia; Primates; Cercopithecidae
Description: lncRNA (ENSMFAG00000056040.1)
Source: RNAcentral